GAAUCCAAAAAUGGUCAUUUGGCCUCAAAGCUACAGUGGUAUUAUUUGAAUGAGUUGGAUGGAAAAAAGAGUCAAGAAAAGGAGACCCCAUGUAGAUGUAGGUUAGUCUGUCAGUUUUCUUAUUCCAAGCUAGAAAUUUGAUAAUUGUACGAGUUAUAGAAGUCCAGUCUUAUGAAACUCAUAUCUUAUACUACUAAUAUGCAGUGCCAAGAUAUAGAAAAUUUAUCGACAAAAGGGUUUCAAGCUGUAAUUUAGAGAAAUAAAAAUCUAAAAAAAAAUUAGAUAAAUAAAACUUGAACUCAGAUUGGUGAGGGGUUAAUAAGCAUAGUUUCGACUAAGCUAUCUACAAAUAUUAAAUAUCAAUUAGUUUUCUUUAUACAUAUUAUAUUAUAUAAAAACGAUAAAGUUAAGAGAACUUCCCCUGGACCUAUACUAAAUCCGCCCGUGCAUGCAUGUUUGGAUUGAUUUUCUAAAUGUUUAUAGUGGUAAAAAAAGGGUUUAUAAACACUUAGAAAGAUAUUACAUAUUACAAGCUACAUAAACAAAACUGCCGUCUGUAUAACCUAAUCUUCUGUACAAGCCAAACACAUAUUACGUUCAAUUCCAAAUUAUGAGCUUAACAUCUCCUAUAAGGUGUGGAAUCUCUAUUCCAUGCAAUGUUGGUACAGAUAGAAAUUAGAGACAUCAUCAGAAACUAUAACAUGGUAUAAGUGGGAACUGGGAAGUGAUUACUUUGUUUUAUAGUACUCACACAAAGAGCAAGAAACAGUAACAAAAAAUGUCAACUAAACAUGCCUAUUUGCACAAAACUUUAUGACUUGGAAAGAAAGGUGGAAGAUAUGCAGAGAGCAUGUAGAACCAUAGCCACGAAAAUUGAUUUCUGACCGGUUGUAAAGACAUCAAUGGAUUAAUCUUGUUUUGAAGUAUUAGCGCAGUACCAUGGUUUAGCUCAACGAUGAUCAGGACUUUUCUUCAUCACCUAACUUCCUUGGUUGAUCACCUGGUGGAAAAAAUGUUGAGAGUUCAUGUUAGAAAAGGGUAAAAAAGAAUGUGUGAGAAUUACUACUGUUGGAAACAAAUGAUCUCACACUCAGAGAGUAAAAGAUCAUUUUUGGUAAGAAAUCGUGUUCUCAAUAAGAAAAUUUUGAAAGAAAACACAAGGAGCAUAACCCCUGCCCCCCCAAAAUUUUCAAAACGGUUACUAACCAACACCUAUAAGGAAGCGUUAUAUCUAGGCACCUCUCAAACAUCCUCACCCAAUUUUUCGACCUCUCCAAAAAUCCAACUUCUUAUGCCUACUACUGCCAAUGGAAUAGAAACAUAACAGCAGACAAUCUUAAUUUUCUACUAACAAGGAUGAACUCAGCCGGUGGUAAUCACAAGUCAACAGGCUGAUGUGGUGCCUAUCCACCUACUUGAAGCUUACCCAGUAGAAUAUGAUGAAGGGGAUUGCAAGUCUUAUAAAUAAACUUACUUUUGAUUCCUCUGAAAUCAUUUGCAAGGAUGAAUCAGUUGAGAAGCCAAGUUUUUGCAUGAUUUCAUCCAAUCGUUUCACAUUGUUCAGGUAAAGGUAACCAAUCUAUAAAAACAUAUAUAUAUAAACAAUAAGUUUCAGACAUUUGUUUGAUGAAAUGUCAAUAUAAUUUCAAAUGAGCAAGAAGUUAAAGGAGGCUAACUAAGGUUUCUAGCGAAGAUGCUCGAUUAUAAACUGCAGCACCAGCACGUUUUUUGGUUCGUGUUUUAGAGGAGGAACCAACAUUUUUUCCCCAUCGAAGGAUGUCCCUACAUUGAAGUUUAUAAGAUCCAACAAAUCAGGAUUCAGGGGAGAAAAGUUCAUGGGUGCAGCAUAUACAUGAAUGAGGAUUAAAGGGGCAGUUAAAUUUUCCACUUCUUACUGACAACUGAGUUCCAUGCAUUAAAGUUGGGAAUGAAGACAAGGUAAUAAAAUGCUUAAAUACUUAAACUGACCUCUCUGCCUCUGUUAAGAAAUUAUCAUUUAGAAGUUUCUGCAGUAGAACAUCCUGAAAUACAAAAAAAAAAAAAAAUCAAUCUGAGUAUAGACGUCUUCUACCUUGUAUCAGUAAGAGGAAAUACAAUGUGGUUGUACAAUUGAGAUCCAUAUAAUCUAAAGAUGGCUCCAUUGUUAACAAAUUAGAAGAAAACAGAACAGAACAUUCCCAGUUUCCUGCUUUUUGGAUGGAGGGUUGGGAAAACUCAUGAGGAGUUGGAAAGUUAUGGACAUCAGUCAAUCUGACCUUACAACUUACAUAACAAACGCAUACUAAGUGGGAGCUGAAAGUGAAAUAUCACUACUUUCAGUGUCAGUUAGGCCUCCUAUUAAGCAAAUGUCUAAGAGGAGGGGAGAAAAGGGCACACCCCCAACAAAGGGAUAGUUGGCCGUGGUCCUGAGGCCUAAUGUGGCAAGAGAAUGUUGGUAUAUUGUUGUUUUGUGCUAGGUUUAGUUAUCUUGGUUUAUGUGUUUUGUAUCGAACAAUAGUUCACUUUAAAAAGAACAACCCUCUUAUUUGGCUGGGUAUUAUUUGUGACUAGUAAUCUUGUGCUGUGAAUCUAGUUUGCUAUUCCCCUAUUCUUGUGUUUCUAGUUGAUUAUUUCUUCAAGUGAUUUCAAUCUUUGCAAGUGGUAUCAGAGUCGCGAACUUUGAGGAAGUGGAGCAAGAGGACACAAAAACAAAUCGAGGAGAGGCUCAAUGCAACAGAAGUGGACAUUGGAGCCAUUAAGCAAGAGAUACAGAGGAUAACACCCUUAGAAACGAAAGUGGAGAAAAUGCAC
RNAcentral lists this long non-coding RNA (2790 nucleotides) under Cucumis sativus (cucumber). Its description in RNAcentral is "long non-coding RNA (CSAT_LNC001304)". The record is from RNAcentral. Lineage: Eukaryota; Viridiplantae; Streptophyta; Magnoliopsida; Cucurbitales; Cucurbitaceae.